AGCCUGGGUUCCCGCCCGCGCCUCUCCCGCCACACCUCCCUGCAAGCUGAGGGAGCCGGCUCCUGCCUUGGCCAGGCUAGAAAGGGGCUCCCACAGUGCAGGGGCGGGCUGAAGGGCUCCUCAAGUGCCACCAAAGUGGGAGCCCAGGCAGAGGAGGUGCCGAGAGCGAGCGAGGGCUGCGAGGACUGCCAGCAGCUGUCACCUCUCGUUACCAUCACUCCUAGUGACCAUUUCGGAUAAUCCACCUUGCCUCAUCAAACCAGAAAACAAUUCAAACCUGGCCUCCUUCUAACUGGAAGCCACAUUUUAAGAACUUAUUGUGAAGAACUGGAAAGCCUCCAAUAGAACAGAAGCUAAAAGCAGAAAUUAUAAAAGCUGUUACACCUACUCAGCUCUAUUACAUGUUGGAAAAACUGAACCAGAGAAACAAUUACAUACACUCUUGUCUUCUGGAAAAGCUGAAUUGGGUUUUGGUCUGAAUCAAUAGGUCUUUGAAUCUGUAACAGUCUCCACAAAGAAGCAGAAAUGGCAAGAACAAGAUCCAAUUCCCAGGACAGCAAUGACAGUGAUGACCCAUUAUACAGGCUGCCUUUCCAGCUCUCCAAUCAUACUUCCAAGAAAACUGCUCACUCUCAGAACCAAGGUUCAAGUUGUACAUUGGGAUUUGGGUAGAGCACGGGACCUGGCAUGGAGCAGCAUUCAAAAUAUUGGGUAGAAGGAAAAAGGAAGAAAGAAGGGAAGGACAGGGAAGCAAGGAAAUAAAGGAAAUCAGGCUAUAUAUACAGUGAUGCCCAUCUACCCCUGAGAUCUAAAAAUCUAAGAUGAAAACGAGCACACAGUCUUGGCAGCAUUGGGGUAACAGACUAUGAAAGAAGAAAUCAGAUUGGAAAAUUCAGUAUAUCAAUGAAGAAAAUAAUCACUCAAGGAGAGGAAUAAACAGCAAAACAAUCUAUAUAUUUAAUUAU
This is a long non-coding RNA of Homo sapiens (human), 965 nucleotides long. Ensembl annotates it as long intergenic non-protein coding RNA 2046. NCBI's taxonomy places the organism in Eukaryota, Metazoa, Chordata, Mammalia, Primates, Hominidae. The record is from Ensembl.